GAGAGCGCCGGCGGCGCGAGACGCUCCCUCCGCUUCUCCCCUCCCGCCCUCCCGCCUUUCCCCGCUCCAUGAGGGCCCUGCGCGCGCUGCGCCGGGCGGUCCCCGCCGCCUCCCGCUCCUCGUCCUCCUCCUCCUCCUCCUCAUCAUCAUCCUCCUCCUCCUUCUCUUCUCCCGCCGUAGGGAGGCCUCGGAGGAGGGCAUGGGAAGCCUCCCUGUCGCCGCUGGAGCGGGUGAGGCGGCUGCUGCCGCCCGAGGAGGCGGCGGCGGUGUCGCGGUGCGCGGCAGCGCCGCCGCCGCCUCAGCGUCCCGAGGAGGAGGAGGGGAUGGACGAGAUGGCGGCCACCACCGCAGCCCCUCGGGGUGGGGUGGUUGAGGCGGCGGGAGCGCUCCCCGCGCCGUUCCGCGCCGGGGAGCUGGCGCUGGCGGAGCUGCGGAAGAAGGACCAGAGGACGCUGAAGGUGAUGUGCCGGCUGGCGAGCGGGGCGGUGCUGACCGGCCCCGGCGGGGUCCUGCCCCACGACGACAUCAUCGGGCAGAUGCCCGGGCAGGUGCUGCGAACUUCGGCCGGGAAGCGGCUGCUGCUGAGGCGGCCGUCGCUGGAGGAGUACGUGCUGCUCAUGCCGCGGGGACCCACCAUCGCCUACCCCAAGGACGUGAGCGCGAUGUUGACGAUGAUGGAUGUCCACCCGGGAGACACCGUGCUAGAAAGCGGCAGCGGUUCUGGCGCUAUGAGCUUGUUUCUGUCACGGGCAGUUGGGCCCAAAGGACGUGUUAUAAGUUAUGAAAUCAGAGAUGAUCAUCAUAAUUUAGCUAAGAAGAAUUACAGGCACUGGCGAACCGCAUGGGAAAUAGGACACAUGGACGAGUGGCCGGAUAACGUGGACUUCGUUCUUAGAGACAUUUCAACAGCUGCUGCAGAGAUGAAAUCUGUAACACUUGACGCAAUAGUUCUGGAUAUGCUUAACCCUCAGUCUGCUCUGCCUGUUGUACACCCAAGCCUGAAACAAGGUGGUGUGUGCGCUGUGUAUUUAGCAAACAUCACACAGGUUAUUGACCUUUUAGACAGAAUACGGACCUGCAAGCUUCCUUUUCUGUGUGAAAGGAUUGUUGAGGUAACUCACAGAAACUGGUUAGUAAUCCCUGCUCAAAUCAAGAAUUGCAAAUCAAGCCAAAUGGUGGAAACUCAACAAAAUAUUGAAGAACCACCUCAAAAGGAAUAUGAAGAAAUCCACAUUGAGGAUCAAGCAGUUCUUAAAGAAAGCGAAUACAAUGGUAAGAACAUUACUGCUCAUGAGACACUCUCUUACUGCACUUUGGUAAUCCAGUGUAGGAAGAGGCAGUAUUUUUUCUUAGAUCAGCUGAGAAUAGACAAGGUUUUGGACAGCCUAGACCUUGUCAAGUUUGCAAAACACUACAAUAGUAAUUGUUUAAUUUUAAAUAUCUUAUUAAUAAUCUAGACUAAGUAGAAAAUAAAUUACAAUAAAGAAUGACGGCUCUUCUACUACUGUUUUCAAACUUUUGCUUUUCAAUAAAAUUUAGUUCUUUUUUAUUUGUCCUAAGGCUGCUUUAGAGGACCCUGAUGGACUUAAGAAUUCCAUAGAAGAAACAGUGCCAGUGUGCUCUGCUUUAAAAGUCACGCUGCCCAAAGAGGAUGCCUCACACAUACACAUACAUAUGUACACAUAAACAACAGGUAUAGGUAUAUAUACAGUAUAGAUUUGCAGAAUCCAUACUAGAGCAAAGAGUCAUAGGUGACAACAAAGCACCAUAACAGAAGCAAAAAAAAAAAAAAGAAAGAAUUUGUCAGGUAAAAUAAUCUGUGCACAUUGGCAACUCUAGUCUGCAUGUGUGUCUUAAGCUUGUGGGAAAGAAGUAACAAACUCAAUGUACUUCUCACAGGAUCACUUUCUGAUGAUGCUGACACGUAUCACUCAGUGCCUUACGUUGCUAGACCGUCUUACUGGCAGGAAGGUCAUUCAGCAUUCCUUACCAAGCUGAGAAAGUUUCGGCCGCUGCUUUCU
Chiroxiphia lanceolata (lance-tailed manakin) is the source of this 2021-nucleotide RNA transcript. It is a transcript of the gene named tRNA methyltransferase 61B, with no coding region annotated. The transcript has 6 exons. The record is from RefSeq and is a predicted model, not a curated record. NCBI's taxonomy places the organism in Eukaryota, Metazoa, Chordata, Aves, Passeriformes, Pipridae.